GACCCUGGGGCUGAUUUCUGGUACCGGUGUGUGGGCAGCGGAAACGUGCAUGCCCUCUAGCAGGGUGACAGCAACAUCUUAGAAACAAAACAAUGGAGAACUGGAACCCAUGACCGAUUCUUCUUCACCAAGCCCAGCCCAGGGAUCACUGCCAGCCCUUAUCUCAAUGACUGAUAGCACAAGAGUCAGGAGCUUGGAAACCUUUCUCCAAGAAUGAAGCUCUGGGGACAAAUAAUUUGGACCCUUCUCUCUGGUCCCCAAGGAAGGAGGAGAGCCCCCCAGGGCUGGGCCUUCAACUUAUGGAAGACUUAUUCAUCUCUGGCUGGGCUGUUGAGCGCCACAGGGAUGGUUAAUCACUGGACACGGGUCUUUGAGGAAAGAGGUAUCCCAGAGGCCCGGGAAUCCAGUGAGUACAUCGUGGCUCAUGUCCUUGGAGCCAAAACAUUUCAGAGCCUGAGACCAGCACUUUGGACCAAGCCACUGACCCUUCAACAACUGGAAUGCAUCCAGGAACUGUGUAGCCAUAGAUUACAGAGGAUGCCGGUGCAGUAUAUCCUUGGGGAGUGGGACUUUCAGGGGCUCAAUCUGAAGAUGGUACCCCCAGUGUUCAUUCCUCGGCCCGAGACAGAAGAACUGGUUGAAUGGGUUUUAGAGGAAGUGGCCCAGAGGCCCUCUGAAGUGAAAGCCCAAGAUGGUCCCCUCAUUCUAGAGGUGGGCUGUGGAUCAGGAGCCAUUGCUCUCAGCCUGCUGAGCCAGCUCCCCAAGAGUCAAGUCAUUGCUGUGGAUAAGGAAGAAGCUGCUGUUAGUCUGACCCAGGAGAAUGCUCAGAGGCUUCAGCUGCAGGACAGGAUUCGGAUCAUCCGCCUUGAUAUAACCUCAGACAAGUGCCGCACACACCUUUUGCCCUGGGGCCCCAUGGACUUGGUGGUCAGCAACCCUCCCUACGUCUUCCACAAGGACAUGGAACAGCUGGCUCCAGAGAUCUGCAGUUACGAAGAUCUGGUGGCCCUGGAUGGUGGUGACGAAGGCAUGGACGUCAUCACCCACAUCUUGACCUUGGCACCCCAGCUCUUGAAUGCCUCUGGAAGCAUCUUCUUAGAAGUAGACCCAAGACACCCAGAGCUUGUCAGCAGUUGGCUUCAGAGCCAGCCUGACCUGCACCUUAGUCUGGUGGGUGUCCGUGAAGACUUCUGUGGGAGGCCCCGGUUCCUGCAUAUCCAGAAGUCUGUACCAAGUGUGGCUGCUCUGUGAACACCUGGCUAGGAUUCUAGCCUGCCGGGUGCCUGGCUCACCCUGUGUGGAGUGCUGCCCAGGGAGAGGUGUACUGAACCCCUGGCAUAGCCAUGGUUCUGUGAUUCUCCAUGAGGCAUGUUUCUAGGAGACUCGGAAACAUGGAUGGAGUGUUCUUCCUGUGGCAGCUAAGAACAGAGGACUAGGCCUGAGAGCCUCCCCCUGCUGCAGCAAGUCAAGCAGACUGUGUGAUGUAAGGACACCAUGUGAUGGGGAUGGGGGAUGAAGAGGCUCAAUCCCGGCCUUGGACACUGUUGGGACUGCACAGAAUGGCUCACUCCGGUUAACAUCAUCUACCUCCAGCCUGAGAAUGCCUACAUACUCUUCCUUAACUGGGCCUAGGCUGAGCAUGGGGGGCUGUAUCUGAGCAUGAGGAUGCGGCUGAGAGCCUUUGACACAUGAUCUUGGAGUUGCAUACCUACAUUCAUGUAAGUUUAGGUUUG
Molecule: non-coding RNA, 1733 nt
Organism: Arvicanthis niloticus (Nile rat)
Lineage: Eukaryota; Metazoa; Chordata; Mammalia; Rodentia; Muridae
Source: RefSeq, a predicted model, not a curated record